Molecule: non-coding RNA, 3529 nt
Organism: Neolamprologus brichardi
Lineage: Eukaryota; Metazoa; Chordata; Actinopteri; Cichliformes; Cichlidae
Source: RefSeq, a predicted model, not a curated record
AGCUGUCAAUCAAACUGCCGUGCGAUUGGUAUAAGAUUCGUUUUUCUGAUUGGCUGAUUGGAUUAACGGUCUCCAUGGCGCGUCGCUUCACGUUGGCGGAAGAUGCUGAUAGUUUAUUGAUGUUCGUGGGCGUUUAAGGAUUUCAGCGAUACCAAACUUGAUUGGUGAAAUAAUCUAACAAUCGCCUAAAAUGACUUUAAAACCGCAUUUAUAUUAGUUUGCGUAGCUCCGAUAAAACUUUCCGGCAAAACAAAUUUACUGUUUUUUCAGGUUCUUUUUACUCCCGCUUGAACGCAAACAAACUGAAGUUAAUCCGUGGGGGUUUUCCCUUUAAACAAGCAAUUGUUUGUUUUUAAAAAGCCGUUUUUGUUCCAAUAAACGGCUUUUUAACAUUGAUUGUAAUGGGUAGAAGUAGGGUCACGAAGUAUUUACUGCCGUAAAUUAAGACGUUGCUGUUUUUAUGUCGUAAAUUCUUUACUGAGGUUCGUGAAUCUACUGAAAGAUAAACAUCUGAACUUUGAAACGACGUAUAACAUGUCCGUGUCUAUGUUUCCGGUCAUCAUGAAAAUAUACAUUAUGUUUAUCUAUUAAUAUUACCAUGCAAACUUGGGUCGCAUACAACCUCUGCGUUUUAAAAAGUUAAAGGUCCGAAGCAUCUCAGGAGCUGCAGAGCCUUCUGUCACAAAUCUUGAUGAAACAAAUGACUGGGCGCUCCUUAAGUGUGAUGUUAAAGGUGCUUCCCCCAAACCUACAGUCGAGUGGUGGGACAGUAACAAUCAAACCAUUCCUUCUGAGGAGCCGCAGGUCUCUAAAAGAGGAGAGCGCUUCUUCAUCACCCUCAAAACUAAUGUGACAAAGUCCGACCGCUAUCACUGUGUCGCCACACAGAAGGAAAUCUGGCAUCAGGCACAUACGGAAAUCAAUGUGCGUUUGAAUGGUGAGUGAAAUUUUAAUCUUAAAAUGUUUUAAGUAAUUGUUGUUUUUCAAAAAUGUGAAAUGUGCUCAGACUGAAUACACAGAAUGAUGUCUGCAAAGAAGCUAAAUAUUAACUAAUGAAAUCAUAAAGACAGAUGUCUGGAAAAUGUUUCUCAGGUGAAAAAAGUAGAGGUGUGUGAUAAAACACUCCAGCAGACAGAUUCACUGGAGCUGAAGCAAAAAGUAACUUUAGUCUGAAUUCAACUCAUAAAUGAGUUAGUUUGUGUUUGUAUACAAGACCUCUUACAGGUGUCAUUAUGAGCAGUUAUCAGUGUUACAUAUAUGAUGCACAGUGUGAUUAUAUUCCUUAUUUUUUAUGUGCUGUAGCAAAUGUUUGAGGGCAGAUGCUAAAAAGUGAGAUGACACCCAUUACACUUCUGAGCUCCGUCUCAUUAAGGAGUCAUUUUCCUAUAUUCUGGGAGUUUCCUGAUAGCAAAUCAUCAAACUAUUUUAAUAACGUCUGUUGUGGUCCCUAAAUCCAGCCAAUCAUAUGAAGUGCCAAACCAUUGAUGCAACCCACAGAAAACUUAAUGAUACAAACACAGCAGCAAAUAUUAAAAAUAUAUAUAAGAGAGGGAAGUCUGAGAAGACUUUCUAACUAAUGUUAAUGCAUUAAACAAUAGAGCCAACAAUGGAAUAGAACUCCCAAUCAUAUACUUUAUAGUAAAGAUGAGCAAGUUUUCACUGAGGUCACAGUGUAAUUGAGCUCUUUUCUAUACAUGUGGUGAGUGAAGAAUAAUCUGGAUGAGUCCAUUGAAUUGCAAGUAAAGAUAUUUUUUGGCAAAUGUGACAAAAGGCUUUGUGUUCAUUUCGCUCAAUAGUUGUUUUCUCCCUGGAACUCUCCCAUGGAUUCAUUUUUCCCCAGUCUCAUUCUUAUUGUUGAAUAACUACGGCAAGUGAGGCCUUUGAUUCUGAAGAAUUUGUUCUGGGUUCUUCUGUGACCUCCUGGAUGAGUCAUCGAUGCUCUAGCAUCUAAAAGUAAUUUGGUCGGCCACCAUCACCACUGUGGUUCGCUGUAGUCACAAAGCCUUAUCCGUGGUUUUGUACCCUUUCCAGACUAAUAGGUGACAGUGACUUUGUUUUUCAGUGGUUUCUGUAGAUUAUAGCAUGACGUGGUGGUUUUUGAGAACUUUUAGCCCACUUUGUCAGAUAGGUUCUGUGUAGGUGAUUUCUUGAUUCAGCAGGUCUGGCAAUAAUCUAAUCAGGCCUAAGUGUUUUUAGUGAAAAGGAACUGAGCUUUAAGAAAUAUGGUUAAAGUAAACAUGGAAAUCAGAAAGGGGUGAAUACUUUUUCAUAGCAAUUAAAUGCAUAAUUAUGUAUCUACAGUCGCCCUUGCAGGGGCAUGCAUGACAAUCCACAUGUAUUCAUACUGUAUGCAUUCGUAUCAUUAAAAAAAAAGAAUAAAAUAGUAGAAAUCAUCUUAAUGCUCAGUAUUUCUGAAUGUAAUAUUCAUGUCAGAUGAUUAAAUAUAACAUAAAAACAAGAAAACGAUUUUGCAUAAAAAAUAGAUCCUAACAGUCCAAAAUCCUCCAGUGCAGAGAGUCAUUUGUUGGCAGUGCAGCAGGCGGUCAUUACACUGACAGAUUUGUAUUCCUUGUUUUCUGGAAUCAUCAGUCUGAAGAGAUUCACUUUAAUGAUGUGUGUAUUUAAGAAGCUCAGGGUGGAGGAAACCUCGAUUACACACAGACUCACACAUGUUUUCAGAUGUGAGGCUCAGUAAAAAGAAAGCAGGAGUCUGUGAGCAGCAGCACAGAUUCAAACAUCUUUCAUACAAGACAAAACUCCAACAUCAUCUUUACAGCUGAGAGCAGAACCAGAGCCAGCCUGUGAGCUGUGGAGACGAGCAGGAGAAAACAGGAAGUUGGAUCCAUGCUGACAUCACUGAGCUCGCUGUUUAAACCUGCUGUCUGUUCCUGACAUGCAGUCACAGUCUGACCUACACCAAUGUUUUCUCUUCAGUUCCAGAACCAAAGACUGGAUGGAAGAGUGUAGCUGUUGCUGUUCUUGCUGUUCUUGCUGUUGUUCUUGUUGUUGUUCUUGUUGUAGUUGGGAUUCUUGUCUGGUGGUGUUGCUUCAAGAAUAAAAAAAAAAGACCAGAAGAAACAGAAUCCACCCUUCGAGAAAGAGAAAAUCUACACUGAUCAAAGUGUGAAGUAUGGUGUGUGUGUAGCUUAUGUGUUUGUUUUAUGAGAACCAAGUUAAGCUUUUGAGCAGAACAGUGACGACAUGUUGGAUUAUUUUUGGUAUUUUCAGCAGUUUAAAAGUUCUGAACAGAUUUUAAUCCUGUGGUUUAGCACAUGGUUAAAUGUCAGGAUGGAGGGAUGUAGCCAUUUUUGUUAUACUUUCAUCCUAAUCACCCCAUAUUUUUAUAUAAAAAUAAAAGUUUAAAUGACUCAUAGUGCUCAAUACUUGAUACACAAACCCCGUUCAAGAACAAAUUUUGUCACAUUCACAGUACAACAUAUAGUGAAAUGCUUGUGUCCUGAACUGCAGACGUAGCUGCGCCAUUCCAGGGCUGGUUUUUAGCAUGGGGGAUGCCAGGGCCCUGACUGGA